CGCCGGGGGCCCAGAAAGGACCUCCCCGGGAAAUCGGCGCCACCCAGCGGGCAGCUGCCUCAUUGCGCCCGGCCCGCAAAGCCACACCGCGCGUCUCACGUCACUGAGACGCGUCAAGGCCAUUGGCUUGUUCCUGUUGUGACGUCAUGAGGGCCCCGCCCGGCCGGGGUCUCCUAGGCGACCGGUAUAUACAGAGGAGCACGUGGAGGCAAAGCACGCGAGUUUGGAGGGGGUGGAGCCCGACCAGAAGCGGACAGGAGAAAGUCCCCAAAGAGUUCCUGGCAUAUAACGGAUGCUCAGAAGAUAUCGAAUGAAUGAAUGAAUCAGCUUUAGUUCCUCCAGGGUGGCGAUGGGUUUAGGAAAAAUGAUACACAUCUGGCACUGAGGACUGCUCCAUGGGUAUGUGUACUAUUCUUAUCUCCGUUUUACCUGAGGAAACUAAGGCCUGGAGAAGCUCAUCAUCAGGGUGAACUGUAUCUUUGGAAAUACCCUGAAGUCAUUUGGAUUCAAACCUGAAAUAUAAGGUAAGAAAACUGAGGCAGAAGAGAAAAAGUGGCUUUUCCAAAGUCGCCUCGAGGUAGUGACCACCCUUGCUGGGAUUCACAGCUAGAGCUGCUUCAGCUUCAGGCACCCCUCCCCCCUUCCUGUUCUGUCCCCACCAAGCUGGAGAUGAUCUUGAACACAGGAGCCACAGAGACCUUUUACAUCUGAAGAGCUUCAAAUGGUCUACGUGACCUGUGCCUUGGCUCGCCACCUCUGAUUUCAUCUCUUGCUUUCCUCCUGGCUCACUCUGCCCCAAGCCUCCUCAGUGCCUUUGCACUGGCUGCUCUGUAUUCUGGAAGACUCUGCCCCCAUGUCCCAGGGUCACUCUUUCACCUCCUUCAAGGCCUGACUCAGACUUCUCAUUGACAUCACCUUCUCACCAACGCCUCCCCUGACUACCCUGUUUAAAACCACAGCUCACAACCCCCCACCCCUGCAUUUGUGACCCCUUGACCCUGCUUCUUUUCUCCAAGUCACCUUCAAAAUGACUACGUCAUUUUUCAAAUGUA
This is a long non-coding RNA of Hyaena hyaena (striped hyena), 1052 nucleotides long. RefSeq lists it as uncharacterized. NCBI's taxonomy places the organism in Eukaryota, Metazoa, Chordata, Mammalia, Carnivora, Hyaenidae. The record is from RefSeq and is a predicted model, not a curated record. The transcript has 6 exons.